RNAcentral lists this ribosomal RNA (112 nucleotides) under Saprospiraceae bacterium. Lineage: Bacteria; Pseudomonadati; Bacteroidota; Saprospiria; Saprospirales; Saprospiraceae. The record is from RNAcentral.
UUAGGUGGCUAUAGCGUAGGGGUUCCACCUCUUCCCAUUCCGAACAGAGAAGUUAAGCCCUACUGCGCCGAUGGUACUGAUCGCAAUUCGGGAGAGUAGGUCGCUGCCUUUU